AAUCCAGAAAUAGACAAGAAAGAGGGUUGAAACCUUCAUGACAAUGCUAGAGAAUUAACAGUGAGAGAUGCAUUAAGCAACAACACAGUUUUGCCUUUUACAAGCUCCCUGAGGUUUUUAUUUCAGUCAGAGGACCAAGAUUUCAGUUCAAGUCACUGGAAGAAAAGAGCUGUCAUUUAUGCUCUCUACUUACAGGUAAAUUGUCUUGUGAUUAUUUCCACAGAACUCUGACUUGGAUAAGACUUGUAUCCAUUUUAUUACGAUGUUCUUCUUUUUUACAAUUUAGUUCCCCAGAGGGCAAGACCAAGCUACCUAAGAUCGGAACCCUCUGAUAAUUUGUGCUGCUAUUUUAAGAUCCAGUUCCAUUCUACAACUGGCUGAAGCAUGAAGUCAACUAAAAUAAACUGAAUUGAGUGGAACUGAACUGAACUGAAGUGAAAUAAUGUGAUUUCCAGUAAACCUGACACCUUAAGGACAGAACAUGAGCCUUGCCCAUCUUCCUCCCAGAGGUCCCAGCACAAUCACCGACUCACACAAUACUCUCAGUGCAUGAGUGAUGAAUUUCACUAACAGCGACCCAUCUCUCUACAUAAUCCACUCCGGUUUCACCAGAGCUGAGAGUAUCAUGAAUUACAUCUAUAGAUAGCUGUAAGCUAAUGACCAAAGCACAUAACUGAAUUCAAACAUAUUCUUUAUUGCAGUCAGAUGUGAGAAAACAAAAUUUAGAAGACAAGCCAGAAAGGAAAUGAAGAACAUAAAGAGCCUGAAUUCUCAUCGUCAAUUUUUCCCUGACUGACUCCGUUUUCCUCUCUUCUUUCCAUUUACCUUUCUGUUCCCAUCCCCAUCAUUUUUGUAGUGUUUAUUGAGUGUCUGCUGCAUGCCAGUCAAUGUGCUGAGUACUUUUCAUGUGUUAUACCAUUUGAUCGUCACAGCAGCACACUAUUAUAAUUAUGAAUAUGAUUCCACAUACUAUAUCUAAAAUUUAACUUAAUUUUACAUAGGAGGAAGCUGAGACUUGCCCAAGACUACUCCAUUAGUAAGAUGUGAACCAAGUGAACCAUGUCUGACUCAAACCUAACCCCUGAUUCUCUGAAUCCAUAUCACCGUAGAACUCAACAGUGAAAUAUUGGGGUAGAGGUAAUGCUAUUAGUACACAAACUAUGCACAGAUUUACAAGCAACUAAACAGGAACUCAUGGCCAGGCACAAUGGUUCAUGCC
This 1219-nucleotide long non-coding RNA is filed under the name Homo sapiens (human). Its description in RNAcentral is "HSALNT0356769". The record is from RNAcentral. Lineage: Eukaryota; Metazoa; Chordata; Mammalia; Primates; Hominidae.